RNA transcript from Bombyx mandarina (wild silkworm), 967 nucleotides. It is a transcript of the gene named QVR superfamily protein crim, with no coding region annotated. The record is from RefSeq and is a predicted model, not a curated record. Lineage: Eukaryota; Metazoa; Arthropoda; Insecta; Lepidoptera; Bombycidae.
AAAAGUUGGAAACCUAGGAACGGAGUGAAUUUCAGUGAAUUUUAAAAUUGAACAAAACAUCAACUAACUCUAAUUUUUCUUUCGAGCUCUUCUACACAAUAUAAGCCGAAAUAAUAUAUUUUUUUGGUGUAAACUUUUGAAUAUGAAGCACUACAUUGUAUUUUUGUUAUUGUUAGGAGCUAAUGAAUGUUUAGCUACAUGGUGCUACCAGUGUACAGCGGCUACUCCUGGUUGUAAUGAGCCUUUUAAUUGGCGUGGAAUGGGAUAUCUUGGCAAUCCAUGUCCCGAAAGUGAGGAUGUUUGUGUUAAACUUAUUGAAAGGAAAGGAGCACAAGAAGUUAUUACAAGGGAUUGUUUAAGCAAUUUUAGAGCUUUCCGAACCGAUAUUCCUGCUGAUACAUAUGAAGGAUGUCGUCCUGCUGCUAAAGAUUUAAAUCUUGCUCAUUAUGUCAAUAAUAGUAUAAAAGAGAUUGAUGUUAAAAGAAAUUGGUACGAUGAAACCAUAUGGUGCUUCUGUUUUCUGGACCACCGCUGUAACAAUGCAUCGAAUACAUUUGUUUCAAUAGCGUUGCUAAUGUUAUCCGGUGCUACUAUAUUGUUCAACAAAAUAUUGUUCUGAUAUCCCUGAUGUAGUGUUGACUACAAAAUGCAGAGCAAGCACUAGCUGGAUAGUAGAAAAUCGGAUUGGUCACAACCAAAAACGCUCUAGACGUUUUUCCGGCAUAAGCUAAAAACUGAGUUCGUAGUGAACAGUCUGUGAUUGCUCGUAGAUUUGCAUUAGUACAUAUUACAUUGAAAUAUGAGACAUCACAUGAUCUGUGAAGUAAACGUCGUUCUGGUACUUUUGUAUUGUAUUUUAUUGAUACUUUUUUAUAGUAUUAACGAAUUAUAAGUGCAAGUAAAAUAUGUAUAUAAUGUUGAAGAACUCAGACUUUCAGUAAAAGAUGGCAAUACACUGCAUCUUGCU